GAUGAACGCUAGCGGGAGGCCUAACACAUGCAAGCCGAGCGGUAGAGUUUCUUCGGAAACUUGCGAGCGGCGCCCGGGUGCGUAACACGUGUGCAACCUACCUUUAUCUGUGGGAUAGCCUUUCGAAAGGAAGAUUAAUACCCCAUAAUAUAAUGAUUGUCAUCAAUUAUUAUUUAAAAUUCCGGUGGAUAUUGAUGUUCACGCUCAAGAUUACCUAGUUGGUGAGGUUACGGCUCACCAAGUCAAUUAUCUUUAGGGGUCCUGAGAGGGGGAACCCCCACACUGGAACUGAGACACGGACCAGACUGCUACGAGAGGCAACAGUAAGGAAUAUGGGACAAGGAGGGAGGGCCUGAUCCAGCCAUCCCGCGUGAAGGAGGACGGCUCUAUGGAAAGUAAACUUCUUUUGAAGAGGGAUAAACCUACCCUCGGGAGGGUAGCUGAAGGUACUGUAAGAAUAAGAACCGGCUAACUCCGUG
This 479-nucleotide ribosomal RNA is filed under the name uncultured bacterium. RNAcentral's name for it is "partial 16S ribosomal RNA". It matches the Rfam family "Bacterial small subunit ribosomal RNA", at positions 28 to 507 of the family's 1533-position model. The record is from RNAcentral.